This 1441-nucleotide long non-coding RNA is filed under the name Phasianus colchicus (ring-necked pheasant). Its description in RNAcentral is "lncRNA (ENSPCLG00000020103.1)". Lineage: Eukaryota; Metazoa; Chordata; Aves; Galliformes; Phasianidae. The record is from RNAcentral.
GGGCGGGGCUACAGGCUUGUGGGCGGUGCUUGUGAUCUGUGGGCGGGGCCACGGGGUUGUGGGCGGUGCUUCAUACCUGUGGGCGGGGCUACAGUGUAGUGGGCAGUGCUUCUGAUCUGUGGGCGGGGCCACGGGGUUGUGGGCGGUGCUUCGGAUCUGUGGGCGGGGCUACAGUGUAGAGGGCGGUGCUUCAGACCUGUGGGUGGGGCUACAGUGUAGUGGGCGUUGCAUAUGAUCUGUGGGCGGGGCUACAGGGAUGUGGGCGGUGCUUCUGAUCUGUGGGCGGGGCUACAGGCUUGUGGGCGGUGCUUCAGACCUGUGGGCGGGGCUACAGUGUAAUGGGCGGUGCUUCAUACCUGUGGGCGGGGCUACAGGGGUGUAGGCGGUGCUUCUGACCUUUGGGCGGGGCUACAGGCUUGUGGGUGGUGCUUUGGAGGGGUGGCCUUGGCGUGGUGGGCGUGGCUAUGCAAAUGUGCCGCUGUUCUAAUUAGCGUUUCUCUUCCCCCAGCAUGCUGCAGCCCGUGCCGAAGGCGGAGCCCCGCGCCGUCCUCCUCCUCAACACCCCCCGCCCCACGCAUGGGGGGCUGCCCCUCGGCCCCGCCCCCCUCCUCGUUAGCCCCGCCCCUUCCGCUUCGAGCCCCGCCCCCUCCACCAUCACCGUGGCGACGGCCGGCGUGGCUGUGGGGAACCCCGGGGGGGGGCAGGGGGUGACGAGCAACACCCAGGGGGUGACGGUGACCCCCCAGGGGGUGACGCUGACCCCGCAGGGGGUGACGCUGACCAACCAAGGGGUGACGUUGACCCCCCAGGGGGUGACGCUGACCAAUCAGGGGGUGGCUUUGCCGGGGCAAGGGGUGACCCCGGUGACGGUGACCCCCCAAGGGGUGGCGGUGACCCCUCAGGGGGUGACCCUGACCCCCCAGGGGGUGACGGGGGCGGCACAAGGGGUGACGGUGACCCCCCAGGGGGUGGCCAUGAGCAGCCAAGGCCUGACGGUGACGCCGGUGGGGGUGGCCCUGACCAGCCAAGGCUUGACCUUGGGCACCCAGGGGGUGACGGUGACCCCCAUGACGCCCACCGGGGUCACCCUGGCGGCGCCCGGGGUGACGGUGACCCCCACAGCGGUGACGGUGACCCCCACGGCCCCGCAGGCGCUGGGCUUGGGGUUGGGAUUGACGUUGGCCCCGCCCCGGGCCACGCCCCCUGCGACUCUAUUGGCUACGCCUGCUUCUGGCCCCGCCCACGCCCCGCCCCCAGGCUCUCAGCCCCGCCCCCCGGCUCCGAGCCCCGCCCCCUCGAAGCCAGGCUCCGCCCCUUUGGCCGCCUUUGCUCUUCCUGUUCCCGGAGCGCAGCGCCUCCUGCUGGCCCCCGAGCUCACGGCCCGCCUGCCCUGUGAGUCCCAAAAUCGCCCUUUUUCACCCCAAAAUCCCAUUACCCAUUA